UACGUGAGGGGCGAACGUUGUUCGGUGUCACUGGGCUUAAAGGGUGCGUAGGUGGUUGCGUAAGUAACGUGUGAAAUCCCUCGGCUUACCCGGGGAAUUGCGCGUUAUACUGCGUGACUUGAGGAUUUCAGGGGAAUGGGGAACUCCAGGUGUAGCGGUGAAAUGCGCAGAUAUCUGGGGGAAGGCCGGCGGCGAAAGCGGCGUGCUGGACCCCAACUGACGCUGAGGCGCGAAAGCCAGGGGAGCAAACGGG
This 253-nucleotide ribosomal RNA is filed under the name uncultured bacterium. RNAcentral's name for it is "partial 16S ribosomal RNA". It matches the Rfam family "Bacterial small subunit ribosomal RNA", at positions 524 to 776 of the family's 1533-position model. The record is from RNAcentral.